GUGGGUCUAGCUCAGUGGUAGAGCACAUGCUUACAUGCAUGAGGUCCUGGGUUCAAUCCCUAGUACUUCCA
This 71-nucleotide transfer RNA is filed under the name Camelus bactrianus (Bactrian camel). It matches the Rfam family "tRNA". From Rfam's summary of the family: Transfer RNA (tRNA) molecules are approximately 80 nucleotides in length. Their secondary structure includes four short double-helical elements and three loops (D, anti-codon, and T loops). The record is from Rfam by way of RNAcentral. RNAcentral also lists the same sequence under 2 other names. Lineage: Eukaryota; Metazoa; Chordata; Mammalia; Artiodactyla; Camelidae.